UUAGCUCUCUCUUGCCAUUUGGCUGAGAUCAAGUUGAAGUAACUGUUCUUCUUAGUUUAAUCUCUAGGACGUGCCUACGGGUGAACUAGUGAUUAAGCCAGUUUUUGGAAACAGUGCUGGUAGUCACUGGGCCCCGCCCAUACUCUGGCUCAUGGUGUCGCCAGUAUUGCACUACUGCUGGCUGACGCGAUAUACU
RNAcentral lists this small nuclear RNA (196 nucleotides) under Neofusicoccum parvum UCRNP2. Its description in RNAcentral is "U2 spliceosomal RNA". It matches the Rfam family "U2 spliceosomal RNA". Rfam says of the family: U2 is a small nuclear RNA (snRNA) component of the spliceosome (involved in pre-mRNA splicing). Complementary binding between U2 snRNA (in an area lying towards the 5' end but 3' to hairpin I) and the branchpoint sequence (BPS) of the intron results the bulging out of an unpaired adenosine, on the BPS, which initiates a nucleophilic attack at the intronic 5' splice site, thus starting the first of two transesterification reactions that mediate splicing. Lineage: Eukaryota; Fungi; Ascomycota; Dothideomycetes; Botryosphaeriales; Botryosphaeriaceae. The record is from Rfam by way of RNAcentral.